GCCCUUCGGGGUGGAUUAGUGGCGAACGGGUGAGUAACACGUGGGCAAUCUGCCCUGCACUCUGGGACAAGCCCUGGAAACGGGGUCUAAUACCGGAUAUGACACACGACCGCAUGGUCUGUGUGUGGAAAGCUCCGGCGGUGCAGGAUGAGCCCGCGGCCUAUCAGCUUGUUGGUGGGGUAAUGGCCUACCAAGGCGACGACGGGUAGCCGGCCUGAGAGGGCGACCGGCCACACUGGGACUGAGACACGGCCCAGACUCCUACGGGAGGCAGCAGUGGGGAAUAUUGCACAAUGGGCGCAAGCCUGAUGCAGCGACGCCGCGUGAGGGAUGACGGCCUUCGGGUUGUAAACCUCUUUCAGCAGGGAAGAAGCGCAAGUGACGGUACCUGCAGAAGAAGCGCCGGCUAACUACGUGCCAGCAGCCGCGGUAAUACGUAGGGCGCAAGCGUUGUCCGGAAUUAUUGGGCGUAAAGAGCUCGUAGGCGGCUUGUCGCGUCGGAUGUGAAAGCCCGGGGCUUAACCCCGGGUCUGCAUUCGAUACGGGCAGGCUAGAGUUCGGUAGGGGAGAUCGGA
Molecule: ribosomal RNA, 575 nt
Filed under: Streptomyces rimosus
Lineage: Bacteria; Bacillati; Actinomycetota; Actinomycetes; Kitasatosporales; Streptomycetaceae
Description: bacterial SSU rRNA
Rfam family: Bacterial small subunit ribosomal RNA
Source: RNAcentral